Molecule: ribosomal RNA, 490 nt
Filed under: uncultured bacterium
Lineage: Bacteria
Description: partial 16S ribosomal RNA
Rfam family: Bacterial small subunit ribosomal RNA
Source: RNAcentral
AUUGAACGCUGGCGGCAGGCCUAACACAUGCAAGUCGAACGGUAACAGGAAGAAGCUUGCUUCUUUGCUGACGAGUGGCGGACGGGUGAGUCAUGUCUGGGAAACUGCCUGAUGGAGGGGGAUAACUACUGGAAACGGUAGCUAAUACCGCAUAACGUCGCAAGACCAAAGAGCGGGACCUUCGGGCCUCUUGCCAUCGGAUGUGCCCAGAUGGGAUUAGCUAGUAGGUGGGGUAACGGCUCACCUAGGCGACGAUCCCUAGCUGGUCUGAGAGGAUGACCAGCCACACUGGAACUGAGACACGGUCCAGACUCCUACGGGAGGCAGCAGUGGGGAAUAUUGCACAAUGGGCGCAAGCCUGAUGCAGCCAUGCCGCGUGUAUGAAGAAGGCCUUCGGGUUGUAAAGUACUUUCAGCGGGGAGGAAGGGAGUAAAGUUAAUACCUUUACUCAUUGACGUUACCCGCAGAAGAAGCACCGGCUAACUCCGUG